AGCCAAAACUUUGGCAAUGUAAGGUAUCAAUGGCAAGUUGAGGAUCAACAGAACCACAUUACCGAUGUACAUUGAAAUGAUCACUGACCAGAAAAUCUGAGGAUCAUCCACCAUAAGCCUUGGCCC
This 126-nucleotide non-coding RNA is filed under the name marine eukaryotic metagenome. RNAcentral's name for it is "Ruegeria cis8 sRNA". It matches the Rfam family "Ruegeria cis8 sRNA". Rfam says of the family: Cis-encoded. Targets hypothetical protein. The record is from RNAcentral.